Molecule: ribosomal RNA, 576 nt
Filed under: Penicillium sp. ZJ01
Lineage: Eukaryota; Fungi; Ascomycota; Eurotiomycetes; Eurotiales; Aspergillaceae
Description: eukaryotic LSU rRNA
Rfam family: Eukaryotic large subunit ribosomal RNA
Source: RNAcentral
AAAGAAACCAACAGGGAUUGCCUCAGUAACGGCGAGUGAAGCGGCAAGAGCUCAAAUUUGAAAGCUGGCUCCUUCGGGGUCCGCAUUGUAAUUUGCAGAGGAUGCUUCGGGAGCGGCCCCCAUCUAAGUGCCCUGGAACGGGCCGUCAUAGAGGGUGAAAAUCCCGUCUGGGAUGGGGUGUCCGCGCCCGUGUGAAGCUCCUUCGACGAGUCGAGUUGUUUGGGAAUGCAGCUCUAAAUGGGUGGUAAAUUUCAUCUAAAGCUAAAUAUUGGCCGGAGACCGAUAGCGCACAAGUAGAGUGAUCGAAAGAUGAAAAGCACUUUGAAAAGAGAGUUAAACAGCACGUGAAAUUGUUGAAAGGGAAGCGCUUGCGACCAGACUCGCCCACGGGGUUCAGCCGGCAUUCGUGCCGGUGUACUUCCCCGCGGGCGGGCCAGCGUCGGUUUGGGCGGCCGGUCAAAGGCCCUCGGAAUGUAACGCCCCCCGGGGCGUCUUAUAGCCGAGGGUGCCAUGCGGCCAGCCCAGACCGAGGAACGCGCUUCGGCUCGGACGCUGGCAUAAUGGUCGUAAGCGACC